AACGAACGCUGGCGGCAUGCCUAACACAUGCAAGUCGAACGAGACCUUCGGGUCUAGUGGCGCACGGGUGCGUAACGCGUGGGAACCUGCCCUUAGGUUCGGAAUAACUCCCCGAAAGGGGUGCUAAUACCGGAUAAUGUCUUCGGACCAAAGAUUUAUCGCCUGUGGAUGGGCCCGCGUUGGAUUAGCUAGUUGGUAGGGUAAAAGCCUACCAAGGCGACGAUCCAUAGCUGGUCUGGGAGGAUGAUCGGCCACACUGGGACUGAGACACGGCCCAGCCAGGCGCCGGAGGGAGGAGAGGGGAAGAGAGUAUAGUGGGCGGAGGAAAGGUGCAGCAACUCAGCGCGCGGGAUGAAUGAAAUCCGUUGGUGUAGAAAUUUUGUUUGCCCCGAAGGGAGAGUGACGGUACGGGGAAAAGAAGCCCCGGCUAACUCCGUG
Molecule: ribosomal RNA, 438 nt
Filed under: uncultured bacterium
Lineage: Bacteria
Description: partial 16S ribosomal RNA
Rfam family: Bacterial small subunit ribosomal RNA
Source: RNAcentral